CGCAGCCGCGGUAAUUCCAGCUCCAAUAGCGUAUAUUAAAGUUGUUGCAGUUAAAAAGCUCGUAGUUGAAUUUUGGAUUCUACCAAUUGGUCCAUCUUUUAGAUGAGUACUGGUUGUGUGGGGUCUAUCCGCCUGGUGAUACGUAAUGUCCUUUAUUGGAUGUUGCGGGUAGUCAGGACCUUUACCUUGAAAAAAUUAGAGUGUUUAAAGCAGGCUUAUGCCGGAAUACAUUAGCAUGGAAUAAUAGAAUAGGACGAAGUUGUUUUAUUUUGUUGGUUUCUAGGACAACCGUAAUGAUUAAUAGGGAUAGUUGGGGGCAUUAGUAUUCAAUUGUCAGAGGUGAAAUUCUUGGAUUUAUUGAAGACUAACUACUGCGAAAGCAUUUGCCAAGGAUGUUUUCAUUAAUCAAGAACGAAAGUUAGGGGAUCGAAGACGAUCAGAUACCGUCGUAGUCUUAACCAUAAACUAUGCCGACUAGGGAUCGGGCGAUGUUGUUUCCAUGACUCGCUCGGCACCUUAU
This 520-nucleotide ribosomal RNA is filed under the name uncultured Archaeospora. RNAcentral describes it as "SSU rRNA". It matches the Rfam family "Eukaryotic small subunit ribosomal RNA", at positions 569 to 1091 of the family's 1831-position model. Lineage: Eukaryota; Fungi; Glomeromycota; Glomeromycetes; Archaeosporales; Archaeosporaceae. The record is from RNAcentral.